ACAAGAGGCAUCAAAAAAUACAAAACUACAACACCACAAAAAGUGACACUGUUAAAGAAAGUGUGCAAGAUGUGUAAAACAACAACAAAAUGUGGGAAGACAAAUGGAGAAAGUCCCAAGUUCAGGAACUGAACCCUGGACCGCUACGUCUAUGACUAUUAGCCUCCACAUCAUUACGUCACGCACCACCCAAACUACAUCAGAUUUUACUUUUCCGUACUGACCUCUUCCAGCAGUCGGGUGACAGCAUCAAUGUCGCUGUAGGUCUUUGUCAUCUGGCCCACUCUGUCUGCACACAACACUGCAGGAGGGAGACACGGAGGGAAUGAUUCAGUUAUCAUUUCCUAGUGGAAGGUACAUGUCUCAUCAUGGCUGACUUUUCCACAUGCCACCUUUGAAGCCCUAAAAAAAGCCAAAGAACUUUGAUCACAUCUGACGCUUUCAACGUUUAUCUUUAGCAAAAAGGGAAUGUGAUGCAAGGAAUAUGCAAAACAAUAAUGCAAAAAGAGUCGGCCCAUGCAAAGCACACAUUUUAUUAUCAACACUUGGAGCAACAGCGUGGCUGUCAGAAACAAGAUAUACAGCAUGUUGUAAAAGUAUUUAUACCCCUACAGGGUUUUUUUGUUCUUCAUAUUUUACAAUGUUGGGACCACAGCCUUAAAUUUUAUGUAAUGGAGGAAUGUUUAGAUAUGAUCCUUCAAGUUCAACUAUAAAAGUAGGUGUUAGAAUGGCCCAGUCAAAACCUAGACAUAGGUUACAGCACCUUACAGUACAGUAUAACUGUUCUGUGUUAUCAUAUUGUGCUUUCAACCUUCGUCUGUUAUGGAGCAUGCUUGAUUUGGAAAUGUUGGCAGUUUUUUUGGGUUAAGGUUAAAGAUCAAGACCAUCUUAGGGACACACACACAGAGAGUGCUGCUUUAGUAAUUCUAUCUACUUACCGCAAAUGCGAAUAUAAACUGCUAGAGACAGC
This is a long non-coding RNA of Xiphophorus maculatus (southern platyfish), 970 nucleotides long. RefSeq lists it as uncharacterized. NCBI's taxonomy places the organism in Eukaryota, Metazoa, Chordata, Actinopteri, Cyprinodontiformes, Poeciliidae. The record is from RefSeq and is a predicted model, not a curated record. The transcript has 4 exons.